GAUGAACGCUGGCGGCGUGCUUAACACAUGCAAGUCGAACGGAAAGGCCCAAGCUUGCUUGGGUACUCGAGUGGCGAACGGGUGAGUAACACGUGGGUGAUCUGCCCUGCACUUCGGGAUAAGCCUGGGAAACUGGGUCUAAUACCGGAUAGGACGAUGGUUUGGAUGCCAUUGUGGAAGGUUUUUUCGGUGUGGGAUGAGCUCGCGGCCUAUCAGCUUGUUGGUGGGGUAAUGGCCUACCAAGGCGUCGACGGGUAGCCGGCCUGAGAGGGUGUACGGCCACAUUGGGACUGAGAGACGGCCCAGACUCCUACGGGAGGCAGCAGUGGGGAAUAUUGCACAAUGGGCGCAAGCCUGAUGCAGCGACGCCGCGUGGGGGAUGACGGCCUUCGGGUUGUAAACUCCUUUCGCUAGGGACGAAGCGUUUUUGUGACGGUACCUGGAGAAGAAGCACCGGCUAACUACGUG
Molecule: ribosomal RNA, 468 nt
Filed under: uncultured bacterium
Lineage: Bacteria
Description: partial 16S ribosomal RNA
Rfam family: Bacterial small subunit ribosomal RNA
Source: RNAcentral